ACACAUGCAAGUCGAACGGCAGCACGGGAGCAAUCCUGGUGGCGAGUGGCGAACGGGUGAGUAAUACAUCGGAACGUGCCCAAUCGUGGGGGAUAACGCAGCGAAAGCUGUGCUAAUACCGCAUGAGAUCUACGGAUGAAAGCAGGGGACCGCAAGGCCUUGCGCGAAUGGAGCGGCCGAUGGCAGAUUAGGUAGUUGGUGAGGUAAAGGCUCACCAAGCCUGCGAUCUGUAGCUGGUCUGAGAGGACGACCAGCCACACUGGGACUGAGACACGGCCCAGACUCCUACGGGAGGCAGCAGUGUGGAAUUUUGGACAAUGGGCGCAAGCCUGAUCCAGCCAUGCCGCGUGCAGGAUGAAGGCCUUCGGGUUGUAAACUGCUUUUGUACGGAACGAAAAGGCUUUCUCUAAUAAAGAGGGCUCAUGACGGUACCGUAAGAAUAAGCACCGGCUAACUACGUGCCAGCAGCCGCGGUAAUACGUAGGGUGCAAGCGUUAAUCGGAAUUACUGGGCGUAAAGCGUGCGCAGGCGGUGAUGUAAGACAGUUGUGAAAUCCCCGGGCUCAACCUGGGAACUGCAUCUGUGACUGCAUCGCUGGAGUGCGGCAGAGGGGGAUGGAAUUCCGCGUGUAGCAGUGAAAUGCGUAGAUAUGCGGAGGAACACCGAUGGCGAAAGGCAAUCCCCUGGGCCUGCACUGACGCUCAUGCACGAAAGCGUGGGGAGCAAACAGGAUUAGAUACCCUGGUAGUCCACGCCCUAAACGAUGUCAACUGGUUGUUGGGUCUUCACUGACUCAGUAACGAGCUAACGCGUGAGUUGACGCCUGGGGAGUACGNCGC
RNAcentral lists this ribosomal RNA (839 nucleotides) under uncultured bacterium. RNAcentral's name for it is "bacterial SSU rRNA". It matches the Rfam family "Bacterial small subunit ribosomal RNA", at positions 51 to 888 of the family's 1533-position model. The record is from RNAcentral.